CCUACGGGUGGCAGCAGUGAGGAAUAUUGGUCAAUGGACGAGAGUCUGAACCAGCCAAGUAGCGUGAAGGAUGACUGCCCUAUGGGUUGUAAACUUCUUUUAUAUGGGAAUAAAACGUUCCACGUGUGGGAUUUUGUAUGUAUCAUAUGAAUAAGGAUCAGCUAACUCCGUGCCAGCAGCCGCGGUAAUACGGAGGAUCCGAGCGUUAUCCGGAUUUAUUGGGUUUAAAGGGAGCGUAGGUGGAUUGUUAAGUCAGUUGUGAAAGUUUGCGGCUCAACCGUAAAAUUGCAGUUGAAACUGGCAGUCUUGAGUACAGUAGAGGUGGGCGGAAUUCGUGGUGUAGCGGUGAAAUGCUUAGAUAUCACGAAGAACUCCGAUUGCGAAGGCAGUUCACUGGACUGCAACUGACACUGAGGCUCGAAAGUGUGGGUAUCAAACAGGAUUAGAUACCCCAGUAGUC
Molecule: ribosomal RNA, 460 nt
Filed under: uncultured bacterium
Lineage: Bacteria
Description: partial 16S ribosomal RNA
Rfam family: Bacterial small subunit ribosomal RNA
Source: RNAcentral